Ctenopharyngodon idella (grass carp) is the source of this 3878-nucleotide long non-coding RNA. RefSeq lists it as uncharacterized. The transcript is spliced from 3 exons. The record is from RefSeq and is a predicted model, not a curated record. NCBI's taxonomy places the organism in Eukaryota, Metazoa, Chordata, Actinopteri, Cypriniformes, Xenocyprididae.
UACAACUAAACGAAUGCGUCAGCUAAGACGACAUUAAAAAGUUGCCAAAGUUAAAGUAAAAACAUAAAAAAGUACCGUAAUAAAAAGCUGUAAUAUUGAGUUAAUACAUAUAAAAACACAAACAUUAUGUUGUAAUAUUGGUUACAAUUCUGUACAUGUUGUUUGUCGUUAAUAAAGCAUUAAAAAUAACAAAAAAAAAUAAAUACAUAAAAACACACACCAAUACUUUCUCACCUGUGAAAGGUUAUUCUAUUUCUUCGGGAAUUUAAAUCUUGGCGGUUUCACAACCAGAAGCUGCGUAAUGAACGACGGCGACACUGACCGUUCCAAGAUGGCGGGUGUGCCGACGUGUCUGGAGCCGUUGAAUGUGGAUUCUGCAUAUAGGCCUAUAUCUAUGCCUAAAUCCCCAGUAGCCCCAUCUUGCAAACCACCCAUAACACAAUAGCAACAAACAAACACCUCUCAGAACACAUUAUCAACCAUCCACACCUAGAAAUCACCUAGCAACAUGCUAAAACCAUCUCUGAACACUUUUAGCAUACCCUUAGCAAUCGUGAUGGCAAGUUCAGCAUGGUCAAGCAUUACUAAAAUCUAGUUGGUUGUAUAAAUAUUCGCCAGUGUUUUUGUCAGCUAAUAUGGAAAUUAAGUCCCAGUGUACCACUUUUGUGUAAAUAUUAAUUUAGCUCCCUUUUAAUGUUUCCUCUAGAAAACAGUAGAGCAGCACAACGACGGCUCCUUGCCAGCAUGCGUGGGAGGUUUCCAGGCAAUGCUCAUUAGGUUCAUGAGGUCUGUGCAUGUUCCCGCAGAAUGACAAAGCUGUUUUCUGUUCCAUAAGGAGCCGUAUCGGACCUCCGUACACAGUUUACUCUGCGGCGAUUUGUCAGCGUGGUGUUUGAAAGUCCAGUCAUGCAGUGAGAGGGAAAAUAGUGACUGAAAUGGACCCAGGAUAAAUCUUUAAGACGGUUUGCGUGAACAAUAUCCAUGUGUUUGACCGACUUCUUUCCAUACCUGUGAAAAAUACAAGCAACUCUCCACGUGCACAGACUAAAUAACAGCAUAAAUCAAAGCCUACGGUUGCGCCACAUGAUAACUUUCCAUCUAAUGAUGAAUCUGAAUGUUGAACCUUUCCAGAUGUAAGUCUGCUGACAAUCAAUUUUUUUUUUUUUUUUUUUUUUUUAAUCAGUCUUUCUUUUUUCUCACCACUGUAUUAAACUUUCAAAAUCAUUCUUUUGGGAAACCCACUCACUCCAAAACAAUUAAAAAUUUUCAUGAAAAUAUUUUUCUUUUUACACCAGCUGAGUGCCCAUGAGUUCCUCCAGAGGGCACUCCUUCUGACUUCUGUUGUUCUCCCAUUAAGAUCUACAUUCCCCACAAUCCUAUGCCUGCGGGCUCAUUAUGGUUUAAUCUCUCCCACCUGUUGAUCAUUUACUGGUUUCAGUUUGCCUAUUUAAGCUCUUGUGUUUUAGUCGUGGGCCAUGAGUCAUUGUUUGUAUUUAUUUCUCCGUUGGUGUACCUGGAUGUCUUGUUCCUUCCUUCAUGGUCUUUGGAUUAUGUUCCUCUUCGUGUGGACUAUUUGCCAGUUUCCAGGUUUGGAGUGUCUGUUUUUUUUGCCUUUUGUUAUUAAACUGCGUGUGCAUUUGGAUUCUCUCUCUGCCUCAUCUCUUCAAAUACAUUACAACAUUCAACUGUUCUGUUAACAAUUCUGUUAUUUGAUGUAUGUUUAAUAUAGAUCCAAUCAAGUUUAGCUGCACUAACCCUCCCCUCUGAAACUUUUGUCUAUGUACUGUUUUUUUUUUUUUUUUUUUUUUUUUUCUCUCUCUCUCUCCACACAUCUAUAAAAUCUUGCUGAACAAUAAUGCUUUUUAAGAGAGGAGCUGAUAUGAAAUCUGGUUCCUCAUUAUUUCUGUACAAUUCCAAUCAGCAUGACAAAUAAUUCAUCCAAGGUAAAACUUUUUAAAAUGUCUCCCAAUGUUCUGAAAAAAAUAGUUCUGUCUGUACCUCUAUUUGGAGCAUAAAUAUUUAUGAAAACAAAUAAUUAUGAAUUUCAGCUUUCACAAUCAGAAGACGUUCUUUCUCUAAUUUUAUUUUUAACAUCAAAAUAAGCUGAAAAUAGAAUAGCUACCCCUGCACUGACAUUCGUGCCAUGGCUUAAACACAUUUUCCCUUCCCACCACAAACUCAAGUCAGAUUCAUUUUUUGUCACUGAGUUUCUUGUAAUAUUACAUGAUUGUCUUUAAGCCUAAGAAAUUCAGAUAGUAAAGCUUGUUCUCCACCUUCCCUCAACCCAUUUAAAGAUCCUACUCUUAAAAUCUGCAUUGUAGAGGAGAGAAAAAAACAUAAAGGGACAUAACAGAAAAACAAAAAAUACAUAUAGAUCCCACACCCAUGUGCCUUUUAUUUUUUUUCGUUUUGACAUUUUUGCUUGAUUGUUUUGAGCUUUAUGUACAGCCGUUAGUUUUUUUUUUUUUUUUUCAGCCUAAAUUUUUUUUUUUUUUUUUUUUUUUUUUUGUGAUAAGACCCCAAAACACCAUAAAGAAAAAAAGGAAAAUUGAAACUUGAACAAAUUCAAGCAUACCACUCUCACACCCCACACCACACUCUCAUUUCCCAGCAUGCAACACAGCAAACUUUUUACUGCUAAUAUAUUAGCAAUUCACUACUGAUAAUAUAAACAAUACACUAUUGAUAACAUAAAAGAAAUAACAGUAUUGCUAAUGUUAGCAAUACGCCACUGUUAAUAAGCAAUACAGUAUUGCUAGCAAGAGAAAUUCACAAUUGCUAAUAUUAGCAAUGCUAAUAUAAAACACGUUGUGCAGUGUCAAAAUUGUAACUAUUUGUAACUUGAGAUGGGCUGUAACACCCAAAAUAUUCUUGCAACUAUAGAAAAGUAAAAUCAUUUUAGCAACCAUCUAUUUGAAAUUCUAUAUAGGAAUUUCUAGGAAUCACAUACGUAUAACACUCUAGCAACUAUCUGAGAAACAUAACUCAGAAUACCUUAGCAUCUAUCUAGCAACAUCCUAGCAACUACCCAUAAAACCCUAGCAAUGAUGGCGGUUAUUUUUGCAAGCACUCACAUUUUCUUAAGACAGGUUAUUACUCUACAAAUGUUCUCCUUAGAAUUCCUGCUCAGCACCCUCUCUCUCUGAACCCAUCAAUGCCUCUCUCCGUUCCUGUCUUCACCUGAUUUUGUCUGUCUCUCUCACUCUGAAUAUCUCUGUCACCUUCCCCUCUACCUGUCAGUCAUGCCUAACUUUUCACUUUUUUCUCUCUUUCUCAUGGCACAUUUCUUCUGAUUCAUCACUUCCACUUCUCUGCACAUUGAUUUUUGACCCUCCCUCCCUCCUUUUCGCAUCGGUUUAAUGCUAACCCUCAUUUCCUCACUCAUCCCAUCACUGUAAUCUCUUCCGAAGUACCCAGUAACUCCCAUCCCUUACAUCUUUCUUACUCAGAAGGUCAAUCCUGCACCUUCAGACCUGAAUUGCUCCCUCAGCCCCACCUUUACCUGUCUGAUGAGAAGCAGAACUUCACUUGUCCAGGCAUCUCAAAUCUGAUGUCUACUAGGGAUGUGCCUAAAGACAAAUAUGUUUGGAAAGGAAAUGACACAUUCUACAGAGCCCCUAAAGUGACACGGUCAGGGGAAAAAAUAUGAGAUGGGAGGAAAAAAUAUAUUUUGAUGCUUUUGCGUUCUCUUGCAAUUGAAUAGUUGGGUGAUUUUAUAUUGUUUAUAAUUUGCGGGCAUCAGAAAGUCAACAUCAAUAUGCGGGGGUAUUGAAAUCCAAUUCACAAUCACGCAUACUCCGUAUAUAGGGAGCGGAGGUAAUGGCCGCACAUUUUACAAGAUAAGAUAUUUGUCAAUGACUCUCAGGAUCUGUUGCGCA